AUGGUGGUGCAGUCUGUAUCACUGUGGUACACUUUUGGUGGCGGGACGAAACUGUCAGUUGGACGUGACACAGUUCCCACCCUCACAGUCCUGCCCCCCUCCAGUGUGGAGCUGAAGCAGGGAAAGGCCACACUGGUGUGUCUGGCCAACAAGGGCUUCCCCUCAGACUGGACUCUGCGCUGGAAAGUGGACGGUACCAGUAGGAGCUCGGGCGUGGCCGGGAGUGUGGGGGUCCUGGGGAAGGACGGCCUGUACAGCUGGAGCAGCUCCCUGACUCUCAGUGAGAACGACUGGGUGAAGGCAGGGUCACUGACCUGUGAGGCCACAAAGGGCUCCCUGUCUGCCCCCCCUCAGACACUGAGGAGAGCCCACUGUUCUUAGUAGGCCGGGUGGAGGCCCAGCUCACACACUCUGGUCACACUGUUUUUACCCUGUUCUGCCCUCAGCCUCUCUGCUCCUUACUGCUGUCACACUGAGCUGAGCCUGUGUGUGAAUCCUUCCCCCAGCCUGAGUUUCAGUGCUAAUAUCUGACAUGUGCUCUGCUUGUGCUCUUCAACAAAUAUGCCUUCUUAUUUGUGUUUGUGUGGUUUUGAGAAUAGCUGUUAGAUCAAUAUCAUUGACAUAAUAAAGAUUCUUUGAAGAA
Conger conger (European conger) is the source of this 643-nucleotide non-coding RNA. The record is from the annotation of a RefSeq genome assembly. Lineage: Eukaryota; Metazoa; Chordata; Actinopteri; Anguilliformes; Congridae.